CGCAUCUYUGCAACGCACCGGACCCAAGUUCCCUGGAAAGGGACGUCAGAGAGGGUGACAACCCCGUCGAGUCUGGACCGUGUUGCUCCACGAGGUGUGGUCGUCGAGUCGGGCUGUUUGGGAAUGCAGCCCUAAGUGGGAGGUAAAUUCCUUCCAAGGCUAAAUAUUGGCAAGAGACCGAUAGCGAACAAGUACCGCGAGGGAAAGAUGAAAAGGACUUUGAAAAGAGAGUUAAAAAGUGCUUGAAAUUGCUGGGAGGGAAGCGAAUGGAAGCUGCGGGUGCGCCCCGGUUGGAUGUGGAACGGCCUUCAAAAGCUGGUCCGCCGCUCAACGCGGGGCGCUGGUCAGCGUGGGCCAUCGCGGCGGGACAAGAGCGGGAUGUAGUUUCCCGCCUAUGCCGUUGCGGUGGCCGAGGAACGAAGCGCGCGGGGCUCGCCCCGUGGGACCCGUCCCAACUGCGCGCUCGGGACGCUGGCGUAUUGAGCUCUUCAUCCGACCCGUCUUGAAACACGGACCAAGGAGUCUAACAUGUAUGCGAGCCGGUGGGCGGCAAACCCAUUGAGGCGCAAGGAAACUGACAGGUGGGACCCCCCUAAAAAGGGAGCACCAUCGACCGACCGUGAUCUUCUGUGAAAGGUUCGAGUGUGAGCAUACCUGUUGGGACCCGAAAGAUGGUGAACUAUGCCUGAGCAGGGCGAAGCCAGAGGAAACUCUGGUGGAGGCUCGUAGCGAUACUGACGUGCAAAUCGUUCGUCAGACUUGGGUAUAGGGGCGAAAGACUAAUCGAACCAUCUAGUAGCUGGUUCCCUCCGAAGUUUCCCUCAGGAUAGCUGGAGCUCGUGUAAGAGUUUUAUCAGGUAAAGNNAAUCAU
This 871-nucleotide ribosomal RNA is filed under the name Sehnemobryum paraguense. RNAcentral describes it as "eukaryotic LSU rRNA". It matches the Rfam family "Eukaryotic large subunit ribosomal RNA", at positions 157 to 1021 of the family's 3401-position model. The record is from RNAcentral. Lineage: Eukaryota; Viridiplantae; Streptophyta; Bryopsida; Orthotrichales; Orthotrichaceae.